GUGCUCAUGUCAGCAGCACAUCUGCUAAAAUUGGAGUAGUGCAGACAGGAUGAGCACAGCCCCUGUGUAAUGAUGCACCCAAAUUUGUGAAGAAUUCUGUAUUUUU
Small nuclear RNA from Sciurus vulgaris (Eurasian red squirrel), 106 nucleotides. The record is from Ensembl. Lineage: Eukaryota; Metazoa; Chordata; Mammalia; Rodentia; Sciuridae.